Gadus chalcogrammus (walleye pollock) is the source of this 3743-nucleotide long non-coding RNA. RefSeq lists it as uncharacterized. The record is from RefSeq and is a predicted model, not a curated record. NCBI's taxonomy places the organism in Eukaryota, Metazoa, Chordata, Actinopteri, Gadiformes, Gadidae. The transcript is spliced from 3 exons.
UUAAAAAUGGUCCGUGUAUAUUUUGGUAAUUGGAUUUUCCCUUUAUGAAUGGGAAUUACAAAACAAAAAACGACUGGUUUAUUUGAUUUUCGUUUUGAAGCCCAAAACCAACAAUUGAAUUGCACAGCAUUUUUCUUUCAUUAUCGUUUUUUAAAUACACUUUACAAAAUGAAAUUCAAAGUCAACAGGAACGAAAAAACUGACCAAAAACAAGCAUUAUUCAUAUUCUCGCACCGGAAGCCGCUAUUCAGACUGUAAUAAAGCGCGAAUAAUGCGAGAAUAAUGUCUUUGGAGCCCUACUCAGAUAUUAUUCUAGAAUUGGCAAAACAAGGCCUGUCAUCGUCAGAAAUCUCUGCGCGCAUUUCAGUGGAAAGCGGGGGUGGAAGAGGAUUUUCUGAUCGAAAUGUGCGAAGAUUCUGUGCUAAAAACGGCGCAAACUUGAGGGGGUUGCCCGAGGAACAUCUGGAGUUGGAGGUGGCAAAAGCCAUAGCCGAGGUAUGAAAACUUCUUCUUUGAUAGGCCUAUGUGUGUGCAUGUGCAAAGCAAUUUAUUUCGAUUUUGGAAUGGUAAAAACAUAGGCCUAUUUGUUGUUUUCUAGACGGGACCAACAUUUGGUAGAAAAAUGAUGAAGGGGUACCUCGCCGUGAAAGGGGUACAUGCUGCAGAGACACGUAUAGGAUCAGUGCUUAGAACUAUACACCGACCUUACAAUGAAGCAAGACGUCAGGUAGGCUAUACAAAUUCAAGAUGUUUCAGGUAGCGGUGUGUCACUUAUCUACUGUCGUACUUCAGUGCUAGCCUAUAACCAUCACAAUUACUAACACAUGCACUUGCUUUCAAUGACGCUGAUGAGAAAUCAAUUCAUGGAUCAGUGAUUAUAGUGUGCAUAGCCCAAAAGUGUAAGGUCAUCCUGCCUUGAGCCUGCCUCCCUCCAAUGCAGCAACCCCACCCUGCCACCCAGUGGUCAUAUAAUAUCAUUACAUCCUCCUUUCUCUGAGGUGGGCCAAUGGCCAUAAAACUAGACAUGGAUGCUUAACAUAAGUCCAUUCCACACAUCAAUUAAACAUAUCAUUACAUCCUCCUCUCUGAAGGUUAUUCAACAGUAAAAUAGUCCAUUGGCUAAAAAAAGAGUCCAAAGACUCCAUUAGCCAUAUCCAGACUGAACCUGUAAGUUAAACAGCCAAGCAUGAAACAUUCAGAAAAACUUUUAACACACAGUAGUACUGACUCAAGUAAGGAAGUUGUAGGCGUACUGUGUCCGGAUCUGUUGAGAAUAGUGUAGAAGCCUACGUUUGUGGAAUUGUCACAUUAUUUUUGUCUUCUUUUAGGGUUCUCGCAACCUCAACCCCAUACCAUACCAAGCAGACUACAUGGGACAGAAGGUUCAUAUGGACCAGAAUGAAAAGUUGGCAAUGUUUGGGGUUACACAUGUUGUAGCCAUUGAUGGCUAUAGCAAAAAGAUUGUUGGUCACUCCACCAUGGCCAUAAAAAAUAACCUUGUCAUCUAUGAAGAUGUUUUCAGGUAACAGCAUGUAAUGACAUUUAACAGUAUUCUAUCAUUUAUGUGAGCCAAGCCGGAUGCUGGCGAAUAUAUCAAUAUGGUAUCAAGAUUGUGAUAUGCACUAUCUAGACUAUGUGAUUUUGGAUGUCCUACUAAGAAAAGCUGCGUAGUCCCCUAUAACUGACACUCUUAUACUGCCAUUGGAAAUAGUAUCCGACAUAGGCGAAUGUGACAAUAUGCUGUCAGCUUAACAGUUACUUUAUAACUGAAUCAUUUAUAUUUUAAAGAGAAGAACUGAUUUUGAAUGGUUAAAUUUGAAAAGCUUUGCUCAAAUUAAAACCACGUUUUUCAUCCAAUAGGCCUGCAAUACUAGCUAAUGGGAUGUGGGACCAGGUCCGCGUGGAUCAUGGGAAGGAAUUUUUUUUGACACUCUUCAUUCAGGAGCUGCUAUCAUCUCAUCGCUACGAUCAGGAGAGAAGACCUUACUUGCAAACUCCAUCCACAAGGAAUCACACAGUUGAACGAAUCUGGCCGGAGAUAAAUAGUCGUGUCAACUACCCCCUGAAGAAAGCCCUUCUGCAGUUGGUGGACCAGGAAUUACUAGACAUGGAUGACAGCCUUGUCAAAUACUGUGUGUCCUGCCUGACUGGUCAGCUGUGCCAGAUUGGUCUUACAAGAGUGGUAGAGUCUUGGAAUGCUCAUCGAAUUCCAGGUAAAGGAACACCAAAUGACUUGGCUGGCAGUGGGUGUCCCAAAAAAAUCCCACAGGAACUGUUGCCUCACUCAGCUGAAGCAGCAGAACUCUACAGACAACAGCUGGGAUCCUCCCUGACACCACAAUCUACCUUUGGAGUAGAUCAAUUUUUAACAGAAGAAGACAAACUAAUGGCUGAGAACCAGUUUGCAGAACAAUAUUCUGACAUUUCUGAACUGAUGUCUAGAGCUGUCAACAAUGAUUUCACACCAUACAAAGAGGCGCUUCUCUUUCUCAUUACCACAACUCGGCGCAAUGUGUAAAAAAAAUUGUUGGCACUUGUAAAGCAUGUAAGAAGAACGUAAAUGAGUGGAACUGGUGGCAGUGGGCGUUUGAACUCUGACCCAAUUUAAAAAUAAAUAAAACAAAAACAAAAAACACUCUGUUACCUGCCUGUUUGUGAGUAAACAAAUACAUAUUAUUCCUCUUCAAAAAGAGACCUCAGGACAGACAGUGCCUCUGAUAGGCCCUUAACCUCAAACAUGCUGUUUCCUUCAACACUUCCCCUACAUUUUGCACAGGUGUCUGAGCUCCUAAGCCACUCCUCCACACAAGUUUUGCAGCCAAUGAGGUUUUGGCAACACUGCGUGAAGAGUGGCUCUGUCAUCAACUCUAAAACACCAAAUGAGAAAAACGAGUCAAUUUAUGCUUGUGUGUCCUCAGUUAAAUGUUCUUGGUGUAUUGGAUGAGCAUUAUGUAACACAACUUUGUUAAUUAUAAAAAUAUCUGUUACUGUAUAUCACAAAAAAUAAAGUGGCUGGCACACAGCAGACCUUAGUUAGAUAAUAUAAAACAUGUGUUUAUUUGUAACUCUGAAAUUGUGGCACACACCAUAUAAAGUAGAUCCUUUGGAUACUUACUCAAGCAAAAAGCACAGGAGAACCCGUGCUUAAUGGCCUGUAGCUGUGAAUGAGUCAGGGUCAGUCUUUGAACUGCAGCCAGACUGGUGAGCUCCCUGAUUGCUAAAGUGACAUCCGGGAGACUCUGAGAUGCAAGAACCAGCUCUUCAAUUUUGUCUGUGACCUCUGCAAUGCCUCCAACCUCUUCAUUUUUCCAGCUGUUUCACAGAGGAUAGAACAAAACAUAGAGGUUAGAUAUGUACUUGAUGUGGUGAGCAGGAUUGGUGAUGGUGGGGUAGAAGCUUAACCUUUGCAAAAAAAAAAAAAAGUAGGCCUAUUUGAUUUAUAAAUGUAGAGCUGCCAUUUAGGAAAUGUAUUUGACAGGAUUUCAUACUUUAAGGGCAAGUUGGUUUCUUAGUGGCAGACAGGGUAUAAGGGAAUGCUAACCCAAUGUAUGGUGUGGCCUAUACAGAGAUGGCAAUGGCAAAAUUGUCUGAAAAGUCAAGUAAAGAUUAAUCUAACAGAAAAUAAAAUAAAAAAAAGAGCACAUUUCAGUGUAAAUGAGCCUACCUCAUUCUCCUCCUUUUGGUGCCCUGCAGCUCUGUAAAGUCCUUUUCUGGAACAGCAAGAAUCUUUCGGUAACCCUUCC